This 253-nucleotide ribosomal RNA is filed under the name uncultured bacterium. RNAcentral's name for it is "partial 16S ribosomal RNA". It matches the Rfam family "Bacterial small subunit ribosomal RNA", at positions 524 to 776 of the family's 1533-position model. The record is from RNAcentral.
UACGGAGGGUGCAAGCGUUGUCCGGAUUUAUUGGGUUUAAAGGGUGCGUAGGUGGCCCGUUAAGUCCGGGGUGAAAGCCCACUGCUCAACAGUGGAACUGCCCUGGAAACUGGAGAACUUGAGUACAGACGAGGGCGGCGGAAUGGAUGGUGUAGCGGUGAAAUGCAUAGAUACCAUCCAGAACCCCGAUUGCGAAGGCAGCUGCCUAGACUGUAACUGACGCUGAGGCACGAAAGCGUGGGGAGCGAACAGG